AUUUGGAUUCUGGUUUGGAUGAUGAUGUAAUGUGUAGUGAUUUGCAGCACGCUGAUUUAGAUUCUGGGGAUAUUGGUAUUACAAAGAAAGAAAAGGUCGUGUAUGAAAAACCAAUUGACUUUACCAAAGUUGACAUUAAUUUGCUUCCAACUGUCAUUAUUGUCGGGCGUCCAAAUGUGGGAAAAUCAGCCCUGUUCAACCGGUUGAUUCGAAGGAGGGAGGCUCUUGUGUACAAUACACCAGAUGAUCAUGUUACUC
This 258-nucleotide unclassified non-coding RNA is filed under the name Hevea brasiliensis (rubber tree). Lineage: Eukaryota; Viridiplantae; Streptophyta; Magnoliopsida; Malpighiales; Euphorbiaceae. The record is from RNAcentral.